Molecule: ribosomal RNA, 254 nt
Filed under: uncultured bacterium
Lineage: Bacteria
Description: partial 16S ribosomal RNA
Rfam family: Bacterial small subunit ribosomal RNA
Source: RNAcentral
UACGAAGGGGGCUAGCGUUGCUCGGAAUCACUGGGCGUAAAGCGCACGUAGGCGGGUUGCCAAGUCGGGGGUGAAAUCCUGGAGCUCAACUCCAGAACUGCCUUCGAUACUGGCGAUCUUGGAGUCCGGGAGAGGUGAGUGGAACUGCGAGUGUAGAGGUGAAAUUCGUAGAUAUUCGGAAGAACACCAGCGGCGAAGGCGACUCACUGGACAAGUAUUGACGCUGAGGUGCGAAAGCGUGGGGAGCAAACAGG